RNAcentral lists this transfer RNA (75 nucleotides) under Candidatus Saccharimonadota bacterium. Its description in RNAcentral is "Candidatus Saccharibacteria bacterium tRNA-Gly". It matches the Rfam family "tRNA". Rfam says of the family: Transfer RNA (tRNA) molecules are approximately 80 nucleotides in length. Their secondary structure includes four short double-helical elements and three loops (D, anti-codon, and T loops). Lineage: Bacteria; Candidatus Saccharimonadota. The record is from RNAcentral.
GCGGGUGUAGUAUAACGGCUAUUAUAAGGGCUUUCCAAGCCCAAGAUAGGGUUUCGACUACCCUCACCCGCACCA